CUGGGAUUAGAUACCCCACUAUGCCUAGCCCUAAACCUAGAUAAAAAAAUACUAUUUAUCCGCCAGAGAACUACGAGCAAAAUACUUAAAACUCAAAGGACUUGGCGGCAUUCCACAUCAAUCUAGAGGAGCCCGUCCAAUAAUCGACAACACGCGUUCAACCCCACCAUUUUUGGCCACUCCAGCCUAUAUACCGCCGUCGUCAGCUAACCUUGUGAAAGAAAAAAAGUAAGCACAACAGCCCUCGCUAAAACGUCAGGUCAAGGUGUAGCUAAUAAAAUGGCUGUGAUAGGCUACAUUUUCUCAAAAAGAAAACACAGAAAAUACAAUGAAACCUGUAUUUGAAGGCGGAUUUAGCAGUAAAAUAGGAAAGGAUACCUACUUUAACACCGCUCUGGAAUGCGCACACACCGCCGUCACCC
This 422-nucleotide ribosomal RNA is filed under the name Karusasaurus jordani. Its description in RNAcentral is "partial 12S ribosomal RNA". It matches the Rfam family "Bacterial small subunit ribosomal RNA", at positions 772 to 1402 of the family's 1533-position model. Lineage: Eukaryota; Metazoa; Chordata; Lepidosauria; Squamata; Cordylidae. The record is from RNAcentral.